AAGGCUUUAUCUUAAUUAAAGUAUCUGAGUUGCAUUUAAAAGAUGUGGGGUAAAAUCCUGCAAGUCUUA
RNAcentral lists this transfer RNA (69 nucleotides) under Siren intermedia (lesser siren). RNAcentral describes it as "tRNA-Ala". It matches the Rfam family "tRNA". From Rfam's summary of the family: Transfer RNA (tRNA) molecules are approximately 80 nucleotides in length. Their secondary structure includes four short double-helical elements and three loops (D, anti-codon, and T loops). Lineage: Eukaryota; Metazoa; Chordata; Amphibia; Caudata; Sirenidae. The record is from RNAcentral.